Molecule: ribosomal RNA, 504 nt
Filed under: Triticum aestivum (bread wheat)
Lineage: Eukaryota; Viridiplantae; Streptophyta; Magnoliopsida; Poales; Poaceae
Description: partial small subunit ribosomal RNA
Source: RNAcentral
AUGGGUCCGCUGGCAAUUCGAUAUGCGAGUAUGUCUAUGUCGCUGCCAACUCUGGAGGUCCUUGGUCACUUCUGCAGGUGUGACCAUGAGUUCUGCUACUCCUGCCACGUGAGUACAACAACUGCGAACAAGCAUGCUAGUGCGUCUUCUGGGACGAAGACAGUGCCGAGCUCUCGACAGCGCAGUCCUGCCAAGCCUUCGAGAUCUGGGUAUGGGACACCUUCGACUGCAUGCCCCACCGACGGCUACUCAGAGAAGGAGCGGGUGCAGGUGUCACUCAUCCAGCGGUUCCUCGCAGGGGGGUUUAGCCUGAGCGGCGAACAUCACAACCUGACCCAGCAGUCGUUGCCGUCAUGCUGCGCGGUGGACUCGUACAUCGUUGACACCAUGAAGGAUCUCCAUCAGCUGCAACGACGACUACAUACAGUGAAUGAUGAGGAUGUUAAAGAAUAUCGAGUCAUAGAUAUAGCAUUAGAAAGGAGAUACGGAUGGCGCAUAUACUGA